AUUUUUUAGUACUCUAUAAAGAAGGACCACCUUUCUUUCACGCAUCUUAUAUUGUCAUAGUCGAAGUAGCAAAUGCAGACUCCUUAGUUAUAGAUUCUACUCUAUCUACAAGAUCCACAUGGAACAGUUUGUUUGGAUUGCAAAGGCUCUCCGAAAACGCUGCCAAGGAGAUACUCUUUGCGCAAGUUUUAUGGCCAUCAUCGGUACCGCGGGAUAUCAGUACAACUAGCCCCGAAAUACUCUCCGAAUUCACAGUGAGAGAAUUACUUUGGCGUCGAUGGAAUCCGAAGCAGCACCGUGAAGACGUCCCCACCGAGGAUGAGGAUUCAUGUUGAAGGUUUUUUUUAAAUAUUUAUAUUUUAGAAAUUCUCACACAACAAAUUCGCUCUACUUAUAUAUAUUUUAUUUCAUAUAUUAACUUUUUUACCGCACUGCGGUAAUAUUACGCUUGUAUAUAUGUAUAAUUUUUUUUACGAGAACUUUGUAUAUAUACAUAUUGCAAAUUAAAAGGCAGAUUACAUGUAAUCGUAUCUCAUCAUGAUAUGGUAAGAAAAGUUUCUUCUUAAAAUAAAUUCGCAAUUCUCCUCAA
This is a long non-coding RNA of Formica exsecta, 589 nucleotides long. RefSeq lists it as uncharacterized. The record is from RefSeq and is a predicted model, not a curated record. Lineage: Eukaryota; Metazoa; Arthropoda; Insecta; Hymenoptera; Formicidae. The transcript is spliced from 2 exons.